UACGUAGGUGGCGAGCGUUGUCCGGAUUUACUGGGCGUAAAGGGUGCGCAGGCGGCGUCGCAAGUCAGGCGUGAAAUCCCCGGGCUUAACCUGGGAACUGCACUUGAAACUACGAUGCUGGAGUAUGGCAGAGGGAGGUGGAAUUCCACGUGUAGCGGUGAAAUGCGUAGAGAUGUGGAGGAACACCGAUGGCGAAGGCAGCCUCCUGGGCCAAUACUGACGCUCAUGCACGAAAGCGUGGGGAGCAAACAGG
This 253-nucleotide ribosomal RNA is filed under the name uncultured bacterium. RNAcentral's name for it is "partial 16S ribosomal RNA". It matches the Rfam family "Bacterial small subunit ribosomal RNA", at positions 524 to 776 of the family's 1533-position model. The record is from RNAcentral.